RNAcentral lists this unclassified non-coding RNA (345 nucleotides) under soil metagenome. Its description in RNAcentral is "partial contains 5.8S ribosomal RNA, internal transcribed spacer 2, and large subunit ribosomal RNA". The stretch from base 1 to 119 matches the Rfam family "5.8S ribosomal RNA", at positions 35 to 154 of the family's 154-position model. The record is from RNAcentral.
GAUGAAGAACGCAGCGAAAUGCGAUACGUAAUGUGAAUUGCAAAUUCAGUGAAUCAUCGAGUCUUUGAACGCACAUUGCGCCCCCUGGUAUUCCGGGGGGCAUGCCUGUCCGAGCGUCAUUGCUGCCCUCAAGCACGGCUUGUGUGUUGGGCCCCGUCCUCCGAUCCCGGGGGACGGGCCCGAAAGGCAGCGGCGGCACCGCGUCCGGUCCUCGAGCGUAUGGGGCUUUGUCACCCGCUCUGUAGGCCCGGCCGGCGCUUGCCGAUCAACCCAAAUUUUUAUCCAGGUUGACCUCGGAUCAGGUAGGGAUACUCGCUGAACUUAAGCAUAUCAAUAAGCGGAGGA